Molecule: ribosomal RNA, 637 nt
Filed under: Leidynema sp. b SES-2022
Lineage: Eukaryota; Metazoa; Nematoda; Chromadorea; Rhabditida; Thelastomatidae
Description: partial large subunit ribosomal RNA
Rfam family: Eukaryotic large subunit ribosomal RNA
Source: RNAcentral
CUGAGAAGGAAACGGAUAGAGUUAACGAAACUCAGUGGUAUUCAUCCGAGUCAUUGUCGUUGCUGGCUGCUUUGUUUGACUAGCCUUCGGGUUGGAAGCAUUGUGGCUUUUCGAUGACAGUGCUUGGUGUAUUUACCAUUGGUAUGCGCUGAGAAAUUCGCUGUGGUGCGUUGCUGCUGCUCAAAGAUCGCCAGAUUCUUAUGAAUUUGGAAAGUUUUGGUGGUGAAAACGUAUCCGUGGUGAAUGCUGCUUCGCAGUGCUGCGCUUGCUUUGGCGCAACGGCUGCUGUAUGAUUGGUGUAGCUAUUGGGCGGUCGCAUGCGACUUGCUUAUAGUUGAUGCUGGUCUAUGGUGGUGCAGUUGCGUUGGCGUUAGCAUCUCGGUGUGAAAGUUGACCACCUAUCCGACCCGUCUUGAAACACGGACCAAGGAGUUUAGCAUAUGCGCAAGUCAUUGGGUGGUAAACCUAAAGGCGUAAUGAAAGUAAAGAUCGCUUUAAUGCGGUUGAUAUGGGAUCCGCGUAGUUACGGCUGCUGCGGCGCACCAUAGCCCCGUCCCCGUUGCUUGCAAUAGGGCGGAGGUAGAGCGCAUACGCUGAGACCCGAAAGAUGGUGAACUAUGCCUGAGCAGGAUGAAGC